GAACGAGAGCAGUCAGAGAAAUAAAAAAAUUAAUGACGUCAUUAGAGUGGGGGCCAGUAAGCGGCUCCCUUGCAUCAGCGGGGAAGUUGGAGUGUGCCCAAGAUCGGAAAGCAGGCAGCAGUGCUCCGUUGGCCGCGUCUUCCCCUAAUUAGAGAACAGACCGCAAGGGACAAAAUUGCAAAAGAAAUUCCAGCUUCUCUAAGAACCUCAGAACGAUGGCAGCAUGAGCACACAGUGGGCAGGUUCAACGCACGGGUCACUCUGGCAAGCAUUUCACGGGCGCUGAUCCUUCUCAUCGUCACACAGUCUGAAAGUUACAACUCUUGUCCCUGUUCAGCAGAUGAGCAGACUGAGGCCACUGAGGCUAAUCAGCUCACCCGAGACCUCACAGUCAGGAAACGGCAGAGCCAUUGCAAAGAAAACUGGUUCCGCACUCCCUGUUCCUAACCAACUCAACAGAUCUGAGUUUGGGAAUGGACUGGACGCCCUGCUUCAAGUCCAAAAACAGGGACAUUUCAGCAAACUUCAUAAGCCAGACCAUCGGACUCAUGCACCCAGAAUGGCCUCCCUGUUCAGCCAUGGCAGUGAGGUUCAGACAAGGCUGUCAUGGACCUCAGCAGGAGAGGGGCCUGGCAGCCGCGGGGCAAUUCGCUGCAGGUGUGUGGGACGGAGGAUGACACACACAGACCCACUGUGUCCCUUGCUAAGGCAGUAGCUAUUGUGCGCACCACCAAAACGUCCACCCCAGGCUCCUUGGUGGGAACCUGGAAGCUCUCCCCUCCUCCAUAUGGGAUUAAUUAUGGGGCCUGAGGAUGAUUUUACCUCUGAAACAUUCUGUGGCAGAGUCAGUACUGUUUGUUGGCCAGACCCGUUUCCUUUCUGCUCUGAGCUCAGCUCAACUGCACUUCUGAGACUCCUCCUCAGCAGCGGGGCCACAGGUCCGAGUUCUUUCUGAUAGCCGGGAUGCCAGGACGUCGGCCAGAGUCCCGUGUGGGCCACCGCAGCCUGGCCCCCCGGCCUCCUGCAGCAUCUCCCAUCCUCUCUGUUCCCUCUCCAGCAGGCACGCUGCAGAGGACAGCCAGGCCCAGGAGAAUGGAUGGAGGGGGGCUGGGUCCCUGGAUGACCACAUGGAGCGGACCUCCCUGCCACAGCCAGGCCCCGUCGCAGACUCACACUGGGCUGGGAUGUGAUCCUUCCAGAGCUACCGCUGUGCCCAUCACUGCCUUUCUACCUCUCUCCUUGCCCUCCCCGCCUCUGCCCCGCCUUCAGCCAUCCCAACUCCAGCUGCUAAGGCAGAGCGAGCCUCUUAAAGCCCAAGUCAGUCUAUCUGCUCCUUGGUGUACAGCUGACAAUGGUACCGCCAAAUGCAGCCUUGGAGGGACCCCAGUGUGGCACGUGGUCUUCCCAGGCCUGCUUUCGUCCACGGUCCAUGGGCCAGCUUUGUGCCAGCUCUCUGUUGCCACCCACAGGGCCUGGCCACGGGUGCACUGGGCAUUUAUGUCUUCAUGGCUGCUUCUCUCACCAGACUCCUUCUGGAAUGUCCUUCCAUCUCUCUGCUAUUUCCCUCUGUCAGCUUAACUGCUCCUCAUCUUGUGGGAUGAGUCUGGCCACACCGCCUCCGUGUCCCCCCGCCACCCCCUAGGGACCCGCACACCACAUACCACCACUGCACUAGGAGUGCUUGGCAUAGAGAGUGUUGGUUGUCUGUGUCAUUGACACAGAGCAGGGCCUCAACAACUACCCAACACCCCGGGAGAGGACAAUAAAAUUAUCUCCGGACAUUGUCCAAUGUCCCCCGGAAACAAAGUGGGGCCCACCCGAGAAGCCCUGCUCUGGGGUCAUGUCAGAGAAGGAACGUCUGCUAACUGUAACAAGAAUUCAGAGGGCACGUUAUCUUGAUGAGCUCACCCUAGUCAACGCUGACCUGAAACCAGAUUUUGUCCAAACUGGCUCUCAGAAGCCAAGUUGUGGGGACCCAAUUCAGAACAGGUUCAGGGUAGCAGACCUGGGGUCUACUGAGUACCCACCAGCUGCUUCUCCUUUGCCAACAGACCCCAGGCUUUUUCAGCAUGGCCAUAUGGCCAGCACAAGCAGUAUGUUGAGAUUGGUCUAGGCCAUUCUGGAUCAUUCUGGAUCUUAGUAUCCCAGCCUCUCCUGCAGGUAAGGGUAGCCUUAAAACCAGUUCAAGACAAGGAGAUACAGGGGAAGUCUGUUGUGAGGGUUUCUUAGAUACUUUUGCUUUUCUGUUAGGGUCAGAAGCAACAGACACCACCCUCCUCCAACCUCUCUCCCUUUCUGAUUGCAGGCAUGAGGGCUAGGGCAGGGGGAGAGUCACAGAUGAGCCAGCUUUGGCCUCCUGGAGCACACACCAAGGCCCUCUACCUCCCGCUUCCUUAUUACGAGAGGAAAAGAACUCCUGGCAUUUGUUUGUGUCCUUGUUUGGGUUGAACAGUGCCCCCAGCCGUUCAUGUCCACCUAGAACCUCAGAAUGUGGCCUUACCCAGCAGUAAGGUCUUUGCAGAUAUGACUGGACGGGGAUCUUGACAUAAAGUCAGCCUGGGUUUGGGGAGGGCCUCAAUCCCAUGACUGGGGGCCUCACAAGAAGGGAGGGGUGGAGACAGUCCAGGGGACAAGACCACAUGGGGGCAAGAGGCGAUGAGUGCAACAGCGCUGCCACAUGCCUAGGGACACGAGGAGCCCCCAGGAUCCCUCAGGAGCUGCAGGAGGGACCUUCCCCUGGGGGUUCUGGAGGGCAGCUGGGCCCGCUGACAACUUGAUCUCGGUCUUCUGGCCUCCAGAACCGUGAGAGAGGCAAUUCCUGUUGCUUCAGUCCGUGCAGUUUCUGGUCGUUGGUUCCGGGCCGCCUCAGGCAACAAGUGUGGCCCCUCCUGAAGUCUUCUGUGCCUUUAGGAGGACCGACUCAUGAGCACAUGGACGGGGAGCCAGCUCAGAUCGCAGCCUAGGGGGGUUUCUCUCCAGGUACCCUCCGCUGAGGAGAAGGGAAGCCAGGUGGAAGGUCACUGUGGGGAGAAAUGAAGACGUCUCUUCUACUUCUCCGCGGGACUUUUUUUUUUUUUUUUUUUAAUGUGGCUCCCAAUAUGUACCACUAAUUUAUUCCUUACUUUUCACCAUCGAGGCAUUUACAAGGUGGAAGAUUUAUACAAUCUGAAGAGAACCCUGAGUAUCACUGAGACCUUUAAAAUGGAGGAGGCGCAUAGGCCGCUUCAUUUGUCUUCCACUGUGAGGAAGCACAACUUCCCACACAAAGUGGCGUCACACAGAACUGAGGCUUCCCAUUCUCUGUGGUCACAGACUUCGAAUAUUCUCUACUUUAUACCUAUUUAAUAUCCACUGUUAAUUUGAAGCACUUUGAAAUAUCUAUUUUUUGCUUUCUCAAACCAAUAUUUUUAAAUAUGCUCUAACUUAAGUAAGAAUUUUUUUAAUGUCAUUUCAUUUAUAUUAAUACAAAUUGUGUAUGUUUAAGGUAGGUAUACAACAUGGGGAUUUGAUCCACCUAUACACAGCAGCACAAAUAUUGCAGUGCUAAUGAACUGAUCCGCCUCCUCACUUAGCUGACCCCCUCCUUUUUUUUUCCCCCAGGUGGGGUCUUUUGGGAUCUGCUUCCUUUCACAGAGCUCACCUUCUGGUGAAGGACCUUGUAUACUUACCAGGGUCAGGGAGUGCUUUCUUGGGCAAAAAGAGCCCAAGUGUAAUUUCUGGACCCCCUAGAUCUAGAUUCCCUACAGACCAUUUUCUCAAUUUUUCCAUGUCCCAUUAGGUCAUAGUCCAUGUGACAUACCAAAGUUAAUUUUUUAUGGGGUUUAAUUUGUAGGACUUGCUAUGCUAAGCCCCCAACACUGCUCAUCCCUAUGGGCCUUUGGUGGCGGGCCAGCCUCAGAAUCCCCACCUGGAAAGCAGAGACCCUGAGUCUGCUUCUUGAAUGCUGUGAGAGGGGCUGUCCUGGGAUCCUGCGGCAUUUGAAGGGUAGGGAGAUAUAAUUGGCAAAUCUAGACUGUGGGAUGAACCAUGUUCUUCAACAAUAGAUGCCCCCUCACAACCUGCCCCCCAAAAGAUGACAGAGAAACCACAGAUUAAAAGCAUGAGAAGAUCUAAAUCAUUAUAAGGACCUUUUGUUUUUGACAAAACCACCAGUAAAAAAUUUUAGAAGAUAAUCAAAGAUAAUAUGGAUCAGAUAUUUGAUGAUAUGAAGGAAGACAUUGUUACUACUACUUAGAUGUGGUCAUAUAGUAGUUACGUUUCAAAACAUAUGCUAUAACUCACUAAUGCAUACUGUGUCAUUUAUGGAUGAAAAGAUGUGUUACCAGGGAUUUGCUUUGAAAUAACUGGAGGAGAAAUCAGGUGAGGACAUUGGUGAGCAAGUCUGACCUUGAGCUGAUAGCUAUUGAAGGGGUUCGGUAUAUAUAGUCUCCCCAGUGUUAUGCAAGUUUGGUACUUUCCAUAAUUAAGGAUAGGAGGAAGAUAGUUUUGCAGAGAAACUCACUCCCAAGAUUUCCUUUAAUGAGUGGCACUGGCGCCUAAAACUUUCAAAGGGCUCAGGGUUCACCCUUGCAGGCGGGAACCCACCUCUCUGAAUGAAACCUUUCUUCAGGACGGGCACCACUCACCCUGCCCCAUCGUAUUAUUUGUCUUCUGGUGACCAGAGAUUACCCACAAGCUACGCAUUACUCACAGAGACUUACAGGCGACCCUCCAUGGCACUUUAGCAUUUUUCUGAUACUUGCUAUCCUGGGUGCUUUCUGUAGCAAAUUACAGUGUGACCUGCCCAGAACAUGAAGCAACCAGGGUGGGGCUGGACUGGGGGCUAUGGUGUAGUACGGCGGGCGCUAGGGGCCGCCACAUUCAUCCUGGUUCCCAUGGCACCAGUCCCAUCUCUCUUCUGGUCUCAAGGUGGCCAUGGUGGUGCCAGGCAUCCUACACAGAGAGAACUGUGUCCACUGGUGAUGUGGAGAGUGUCCUCUGGUAGACCUCUUCUUCCUCACCUGGAAGACUUUCCCAGGAGUGUUCUGGCGGCCCCCUCCUCUAGAAUGGGGGUGUGUACUAUGCUUAUGUUGGCACUGGCAUACAGAAAGAUGGCACCGGGGGCAACCUUUCUGCAUACCUGCCAUGCAGAUUCCUGGGCAGGACCAGGGCUCUGCCACCCUGAGAAGAAAGGGGCGGUGGGGACAAAGGACUUGUGUGGGCAGCCAGCAGCAUCUGCCUAGAGGUUGACAUCUCAAACUGGGAGGACUCAGGCUCACGUCUACCUGUCCAGGUUCUCGGGAGACUUGACGUUGCUGACCACCUGUGGAGGAGUGCCUUUCCACUCCCGUACACCAGGCAGGUGCUCUCCUGGAUCCUACGGUCCCCACCACUCCUCCUUCAGGUCCCACUGGAGUCCCCAUGAUUCUCCUCCCAGUGUCCCGCGCCCCUGACAAUGUGACUGCAGCUUCUUCUGUCAGGACAUGGAGGCUAUUUCUCCCCCUCUCGAAUCUUAUCAAGGCCCCGUCAUUUACUUGGAUUCACAGAAUGCUGAGGAUUAUGCUGAGGAAAUAAAGACAUGCCAGGUCUUACUUCAGGCAUGUCUCUUGCUUUCUUGAAACCCUGUUCAGCCACCCUGAGAAUAAGCUGGGGCUCCCCUGCUGGAAAAGGAGAGACACAUGGGCCCAUCAACCCUGGUGUUCCAGCUGCCAGCCAGCCAGCUGCCCGUCACGUGAGUGUGGCCACUCUAGACCAGCCAGCCUCAGCUCUCCUGUCAGCUGAGUGGAGCCUGAAGUGACUUGUAAGCCGAGAUCCGCUGUGUCUGACCCAGAUCAGCAGAACCACACAGUUGAUCUGUAGACUUGUGAGCAAUAAUAAACACUUCCUUUGAACCAC
This is a long non-coding RNA of Mustela lutreola (European mink), 5874 nucleotides long. RefSeq lists it as uncharacterized. Lineage: Eukaryota; Metazoa; Chordata; Mammalia; Carnivora; Mustelidae. The record is from RefSeq and is a predicted model, not a curated record. The transcript has 2 exons.